UGGGGAAUAUUGCACAAUGGAGGGAACUCUGAUGCAGCGACGCCGCGUGAACGAAGAAGGCUUUCGAGUCGUAAAGUUCUUUUAUAUGGGAAGAUAAUGACGGUACCAUAAGAAAAAGCCCCGGCUAACUACGUGCCAGCAGCCGCGGUAAUACGUAGGGGGCUAGCGUUGUCCGGAAUCACUGGGCGUAAAGGGUUCGCAGGCGGAAAUGCAAGUCAGGUGUAAAAGGCAGUAGCUUAACUACUGUAAGCAUUUGAAACUGCAUAUCUUGAGAAGAGUAGAGGUAAGUGGAAUUUUUAGUGUAGCGGUGAAAUGCGUAGAUAUUAAAGAAUACCGGUGGCGAAGGCGACUUACUGGGCUCAUUCUGACGCUGAGGAACGAAAGCGUGGGUAGCAAACAGG
This 401-nucleotide ribosomal RNA is filed under the name Fusobacteriota bacterium. RNAcentral describes it as "Fusobacteria bacterium partial 16S ribosomal RNA". It matches the Rfam family "Bacterial small subunit ribosomal RNA", at positions 355 to 776 of the family's 1533-position model. The record is from RNAcentral. Lineage: Bacteria; Fusobacteriati; Fusobacteriota.